CAAGCGGCUCAUCGGCCGCAGGUGGCACGACCCGUCUGUGCAGCAGGACAUCGAGUUCCUGCCGUUCAAGGUUACCCAUGCAGUUGUUACUGCACCAGCCUAUUUCAAUGAUGCCCAAUGCCAAGCAACCAAGGACGCUGGAACUAUUGCUGACCUAAAUGUUAUGAGGAUCAUCAAUAAGCCUACAGCAGCUGCUAUUGCUUAUGGCCUGGAUAAGAGGGAGGGGGAGAAGAACAUCCUGGUGUUUGACCUGGGU
RNAcentral lists this long non-coding RNA (256 nucleotides) under Homo sapiens (human). RNAcentral describes it as "non-protein coding lnc-AKIRIN1-11:1". The record is from RNAcentral. Lineage: Eukaryota; Metazoa; Chordata; Mammalia; Primates; Hominidae.